Gasterosteus aculeatus aculeatus (three-spined stickleback) is the source of this 676-nucleotide long non-coding RNA. NCBI's taxonomy places the organism in Eukaryota, Metazoa, Chordata, Actinopteri, Perciformes, Gasterosteidae. The record is from Ensembl.
GAGAGGACAGCCAAUGAUGCAGAGAGCACAGGGAGAGGAGAAACACCAGGUCCAAUAGAGAGAGGAGAGAGAGAAGGCAGCACCUGACGUGGAGGACAAGGAGGCCCUCAGGGCACUACUGUGAAAAGGAGACUCCCCAGACAAGCCAAGAGAUUUGUGUCCCUGGAAACAUAAGCGUCUCACUCAGCCAGUGCCACAGGACACCCUCUUCUAGACGCCCCCCCCCCGACACCCUCCUCCCCGCCACACCAACUAAUCAGCCGCGGGAUCCGGGCCAGUGUGCACAAUGUGCCCGCAAAAUUGCCAGUUGGGUCCCCGCUGCUGAGAUGGUGACUGUGGGCCAAAGGAAAGUGGACCCAGCGCAAGGCGGCCAGCUGGAUGGAGCAGCAGACCCGAAGAGAAUCCGCUUGUACGAGCCGAGGUCGUCUUUCACGGCCUUUGUGGUAGAGAUGAGGUUUUGUGGCUGAAAGUCUUCUCUGAUUCACGUUCAUCACCUCAAACACAAUCUCACUGAAGUCCUCAGUGUUGCAGUGUUCCGCAGCGCGUCAUUUGUCCGGGCGAAGACUCUUCUUCUCACUGAUUAUCUUCUCCUUCUUUACCCUUCAGCGAUUUUUUUUGUGUGUGUUCUAUGAGUUCCUCCCCGUCCAAACCAAGUGUUGUAAAAACUGUGCAGCCC